UCGCGGCGGUGCGCGCAGAAGGGUCUGGGCCUGAGCCUGCCUGGAGCCGCCGCCGGUGCAGAUCUUGGUGGUAGUAGCAAAUACUCCAGCGAGGCCCUGGAGGACUGAUGUGGAGAAGGGUUUCGUGUGAACAGCCGUUGCACACGAGUCAGUCGAUCCUAAGCCCUAGGAGAAAUCCGAUGCAAACGGCGAUGGGAAACGCACUGAACUCAUUUCUGGUGAGACAGAGACCCAUUAAACGGGCGAAAGGGAAUCCGGUUCCUAUUCCGGAACCCGGCAGCGGAACCGUUGUUUGUCGGGCCCUCACAAGGGGUUCGUCAGGGCAACCUAAAAGGGCCCGGAGACGCCGUCGGGGGCCCCGGAAAGAGUUUUCUUUUCUGCAUGAGCGUUCGAGUUCCCUGGAAUCCUCUCGCAGGGAGAUAGGGUUUGGAACGCGAAGAGCACCGCAGUUGCGGCGGUGCACGGGAAUUCCCGACGGACCUUGAAAAUCCGGGAGAGGGCCACGUGGAGGUGUCGCGCCGGUUCGUACCCAUAUCCGCAGCAGGUCUCCAAGGUGAAUAGCCUCUAGUC
RNAcentral lists this ribosomal RNA (570 nucleotides) under Tramea onusta. Its description in RNAcentral is "eukaryotic LSU rRNA". It matches the Rfam family "Eukaryotic large subunit ribosomal RNA", at positions 1389 to 1888 of the family's 3401-position model. The record is from RNAcentral. Lineage: Eukaryota; Metazoa; Arthropoda; Insecta; Odonata; Libellulidae.